RNAcentral lists this non-coding RNA (87 nucleotides) under Brevundimonas sp. Its description in RNAcentral is "Li+-II sequence". It matches the Rfam family "nhaA-II RNA". The record is from RNAcentral. Lineage: Bacteria; Pseudomonadati; Pseudomonadota; Alphaproteobacteria; Caulobacterales; Caulobacteraceae.
AUCAGGCCGGCUCGACCGGCCAGGCUGGCGCGCCCGUCCGAUGCGGCGCGAAUCCGGUCCGGCGUCCGUCGAUAACCUGACGCCACG